GAAAGCAGGACAGCUAUGCUGGAACACCCUCAGGUCAAGUCUGGGUCAAGGGAAGGCAAGUUGUAAAAUGGUUUGCUUCUUAACUGCUUGUCCCCUGUCAGCAUCUCUUACAAUGGAGGAAGCCAAUGACAGAAGACUUGGUGCUGCAGGCAGGAGCCCUUGGAGCUCACCUGCUUCCUGUACUUACAAAGGAAAAGGAGGCUCCAAUUUGGAUCCCAGAGUGGCUGGUGCGUGCAGCCUUGCCUCCAAACACCAUUCAUGAUGCUGAAGAUGCUGAUGAUAACUCUGGGGAUGCUAUACCUCCUGCGGCAGACUCAAGCCAGAGAGCUGUGAGCAGUGAUUAAAGCAUGGCUAUAUCCUUUACCAGUGACUAACUCUUCUCUCAUAUUCCCUCCUCUCCCUUUGAUGCAUGGCAGGUCUGUAACUUGCUAGGAGCAUGUACUGAUAUCUCAGCAGUGUCCAUGUUAAAUGGUGGCAAAUUCCUCAACUGUUCUUAUAAACAAAAUGACUCUAGUACCUUUGAGACAACAGUUAAUGUGUCUUGUCCCAAUAAUAUUACUUAUCAGCCCACUCCCAUAUGCGUCUCGCCACCAUUCCUUUUCCUCGUAACAAAUGCUAGUGAGCUGAAUGAUAUGUUGAAUUGCACUAAGAAUUGCUAUCUUUCCCAGUGCUGGAAUGUCACGGCCUUCAAGCUGGCUGUAAUUAUGCAUAUCCCUACCCAUGUUCCUAUCCCAGUUUCCAUUCCAGAGGACAAGUUACCGGUGGUGCUAUCCAGAAAGAAGAGAGAUUUUGGUAUCACAGCCGCCGUUGUGACAGCUUUGGCUAUAUCUACAGCAGCUGCCAUGGCAGCAGCAAUCUCGCUUGCUGCAACUAUACCCACUGUGGAAGCUGUGAA
Molecule: long non-coding RNA, 895 nt
Organism: Mustela lutreola (European mink)
Lineage: Eukaryota; Metazoa; Chordata; Mammalia; Carnivora; Mustelidae
Exons: 3
Source: RefSeq, a predicted model, not a curated record